This 433-nucleotide long non-coding RNA is filed under the name Mytilus galloprovincialis (Mediterranean mussel). The record is from RNAcentral. Lineage: Eukaryota; Metazoa; Mollusca; Bivalvia; Mytilida; Mytilidae.
CUUCUUUUUUAAGCAGCAUUUUCGUUUGUAGAAAAUUGUGGAUCAAACCAAGUUUUAUAGCCAUCUACACCUCUCACUAGUAUGACAUUAGCAUAAAAUUCCAUUAUAUUGACAACGAUGUGUGAACAAAACAAACUAACAUGAUAGGUAACCAGGUGCUCCGCAGGGCGCAGCUUUAUACGACCGCAGAGGUCGAACCCUGAACAGUUGGGGCAAGUAUGGACAAAACAUUCAAGCGUGAUACAGCUCUGAAUUUGGAUUGUGAUCAAAUUUUUGACAUUACAUGGUUUUUUUUACACAAAACAAAUGUCAAGAUUUUACAAAUCAAUUAAAGAUUUCUUCUUCAAACUUAUUUAAAUCUAAAAUUAAAUAGUUGACACAGCAUAGGUUUCUGACACAGAAUGAAUGUGGUCUAAUGAACUUAAAAUAUUUU